GAUGAACGCUGGCGGCGUGCCUAAUACAUGCAAGUCGAGCGAACGGACGAGAAGCUUGCUUCUCUGAUGUUAGCGGCGGACGGGUGAGUAACACGUGGAUAACCUACCUAUAAGACUGGGAUAACUUCGGGAAACCGGAGCUAAUACCGGAUGAUAUUUUGAACCGCAUGGUUCAAAAGUGAAAGACGGUCUUGCUGUCACUUAUAGAUGGAUCCGCGCUGCAUUAGCUAGUUGGUAAGGUAACGGCUUACCAAGGCAACGAUGCAUAGCCGACCUGAGAGGGGGAUCGGCCACACUGGAACUGAGACACGGUCCAGACCCCUACGGGAGGCAGCAGUAGGGAAUCUUCCGCAAUGGGCGAAAGCCUGACGGAGCAACGGCGCGUGAGUGAUGAAGGGCUUCGGAUCGUAAAACUCUGUUAUUAGGGAAGAACAUAUGUGUAAGUAACUGUGCACAUCUUGACGGUACCUAAUCAGAAAGCCACGGCUAACUACGUG
Molecule: ribosomal RNA, 497 nt
Filed under: uncultured bacterium
Lineage: Bacteria
Description: partial 16S ribosomal RNA
Rfam family: Bacterial small subunit ribosomal RNA
Source: RNAcentral